UCCUACGGGAGGCAGCAGUGGGGAAUAUUGCACAAUGGGCGCAAGCCUGAUGCAGCCAUGCCGCGUGUGUGAAGAAGGCCUUCGGGUUGUAAAGCACUUUCAGUCGUGAGGAAGGUAGUUGCGUUAAUAGCGUAAUUAUUUGACGUUAGCGACAGAAGAAGCACCGGCUAACUCCGUGCCAGCAGCCGCGGUAAUACGGAGGGUGCGAGCGUUAAUCGGAAUUACUGGGCGUAAAGCGCAUGCAGGUGGUUUGUUAAGUCAGAUGUGAAAGCCCGGGGCUCAACCUCGGAAUUGCAUUUGAAACUGGCAGACUAGAGUACUGUAGAGGGGGGUAGAAUUUCAGGUGUAGCGGUGAAAUGCGUAGAGAUCUGAAGGAAUACCGGUGGCGAAGGCGGCCCCCUGGACAGAUACUGACACUCAGAUGCGAAAGCGUGGGGAGCAAACAGGAUUAGAUACCCUGGUAGUCCACGCCGUAAACGAUGUCUACUUGGAGGUUGUGGCCUUGAGCCGUGGCUUUCGGAGCUAACGCGUUAAGUAGACCGCCUGGGGAGUACGGUCGCAAGAUUAAAACUCAAAUGAAUUGACGGA
This 588-nucleotide ribosomal RNA is filed under the name Vibrio sp. 7JANF4-E-2. Its description in RNAcentral is "bacterial SSU rRNA". It matches the Rfam family "Bacterial small subunit ribosomal RNA", at positions 337 to 917 of the family's 1533-position model. The record is from RNAcentral. Lineage: Bacteria; Pseudomonadati; Pseudomonadota; Gammaproteobacteria; Vibrionales; Vibrionaceae.